RNAcentral lists this ribosomal RNA (305 nucleotides) under uncultured bacterium. RNAcentral's name for it is "bacterial SSU rRNA". It matches the Rfam family "Bacterial small subunit ribosomal RNA", at positions 337 to 639 of the family's 1533-position model. The record is from RNAcentral.
CCCUACGGGGGGCAGCAGUGAGGAAUAUUGGUCAAUGGGCGAGAGCCUGAACCAGCCAAGUCGCGUGAAGGAUGACGGCCCUACGGGUUGUAAACUUCUUUUGUCAGGGAGCAAUUGGGUCCACGCGUGGGCUUAGCGAGAGUACCUGAAGAAAAAGCAUCGGCUAACUCCGUGCCAGCAGCCGCGGUAACACGGAGGAUGCGAGCGUUAUCCGGAUUUAUUGGGUUUAAAGGGUGCGUAGGCGGAAGGUUAAGUCAGCGGUCAAAUGUCGGUGCUCAACACCGGCCUGCCGUUGAAACUGGUCU